CAGAGUCUUCCCUUCCCUUUGUCAAGCUUCCAUGCCUCUCCUCCACCUAGGUGGUUUUUUGUGUCUUCAAGCUCAGGCUGUAGUGCACGUAGGAGGGGCUUUAACAAGGCCAGAAGGGCAACAGCGGAACAACAGCUGCCCUUUCAAACCGAUCUGGCCGCUUGCUUGGGGUCCCCUGAAGUGAAACAUGGGCCCGUCUGUGGAUUCCAGCGCCGAGUGGGCGGCAGGAACAGAGACGUUGCUCCGCUGCCAAGGCUGUGAGAACAAGCAGAAGCGUCAAAGCGUCCUUUUCCCUUGAGCCCUGAUGGACUCUUCCUCUUUCUUCCCCUCAAAUCAUCAGCAGGAAAAUGCAGCCCACUCUGUCUCCAUUCAGGCGACAGCAGCCUCCAAGGGAGCUGUGCAGGGCUGGGCAGAUGCCAAAAGGAACCCUAGGACAGACGGACACGCCCCAGCAGGCUCAGCCUCCCGUCUUGGGGCGGGGAACGUGCGUGAGGAGAGCCCUGCGGCGGAGGAAGGAGCCCCGGAGAAAGUCAUCCCUGGGGACUCCAAGGGAAACCCCCCCCCGGUGUUAGCAGCCCUGAACCCUGCUGUCUCCCGUUGAGGACUCGUGUUCUGGAAGGGAGCGAUUCUCGAGACCUUUGUUACAGCCUGUAGCCCAGAGCUUUAGGACUUUGGGUGGAAGGAGUGGCAUUUCUAGCCAGCUCCCUUCUGGAGACUUGGCUAUUGUAACAAAGAAUCACUGGAUGCCCAUAGCACCUCCUGACCAGCAAGGGAGGGGUCUCCCUGCACUUGUGCACCCCAAAUGGCAUGUUUUUGUCAGCUCUGAAUUUCCCCUUCUCUGCUUCACCUUCAGGAUAAGGAAAAAACCUGACUUGGUCUCUUAGCUUUCCUGCUCACUCACAGGGGAAGGCAGAUGAGAUCCUGGACUUGCUCCCAUGGCCUUGGGCCCACUGUGCCCCCCAAAAAUAUCUUCCUCUCCCCUAAAAACAACUGAUGGAGAGUGCACCAACCGCUCUAGUUACAGAAAUGCACCCAGGGCUGCCAACCCUCUUGUACCCUGAAUGGCUCUCCAAGGCUCUACCCAAAGGCCUGGCCCGAGCUGAGAUCCUUCCAGCCAAGACCCCGCCCUGAGGGGAUGGUGAGAGCUCUGUGUGUCAGCCCCGGCCUGGAGGCUGAGCUGGGAGGGAAAAUUAUCCCUUUUCUAAGGUCCUGUCAGCGGUGACUGCCACUUCUCCAAGGGCCACGACACCUUUUCCCCAGGAGCAGCAUGUCCGUUGUUACAAAGCUUCCAUUUUUGCAAAGGAAACAUUUUCAGUUUCAUUUUCUCCCUGUAGUAGAAGAAGAAAAAUCACUUACAGCUGCUAUCGUAAAUAAACCAAAAGAAUUUCA
Long non-coding RNA from Vidua chalybeata, 1389 nucleotides. RefSeq lists it as uncharacterized. The transcript has 2 exons. NCBI's taxonomy places the organism in Eukaryota, Metazoa, Chordata, Aves, Passeriformes, Viduidae. The record is from RefSeq and is a predicted model, not a curated record.